Molecule: non-coding RNA, 697 nt
Organism: Callithrix jacchus (white-tufted-ear marmoset)
Lineage: Eukaryota; Metazoa; Chordata; Mammalia; Primates; Cebidae
Source: RefSeq, a predicted model, not a curated record
AGGACCUAUAAAGGCACCCGCCCCACCCAAGCCCCAUGGACAGAUGCCCCAGGCUGCACAUUCUGUCAGUGCUGUUCUCCAAGAGGCCCAGACACGUGCUGAAACAUGAAAGGUGGGAACUAUGUUUCAGAUGGUGGAGGUAGCUUGAAGUCCAACAUUACCCUGUCUCAAAACAAAAAAAAAAAAAAAAAAUAAAACAAAAAACAAUUAUAUGAGAAAUCUGAAACCCAAAGGGAAAAAGACAACAUAACUAACCUUGGUCAAGUAUUUCUCCGUGCUAUUAUUUGAAGUCCGUGGAUUUGAGUAGAGACGGGGUUUCACCAUGUUGACCAGGAUGGUCUCGAUCUCUUGACCUCGUGAUCCACCCGCCUCGGCCUCCCAAAGUGCUGGGAUUACAGGCAUGAGCCACCACGCCCGGCCUAUCUUAUAUUUUAAAGAUAACAACUCCUGUUGAAGAACUUGAUUCUUUGUAUCCAGAUGCAGACAUUUUGAACCUGCAGUCUCCAGUUCUGCUGUAAGAUCAUCAAUCUGAAUGAAGACAAGAAUAGUGUGAUAAUGAAGGAAGUAGCCUGAGAACAGCCUAACGUAAAACCAAGAACAAAUUCUGAAAUAAAUUCAGUUGCCACAAAAUGUCAUUUGAACUAUAAAAUAUUCUUCCAAUGUGGAACUCAGAAAAUAAAAAACAAAGUUAAAGCCA